CAAACAAUGGCCAAAAUUGGCGUUUUUUGCAUUUUUCACACACAAACAAAUACUAACGUUAACUUUGGCCAGUGUUUGUGACCAAAUGGCUACUAAAAAAGACUGGACAUACCCCAUUUGCAAUACCUUGGGUUGUCUACUAUUGCAAAUGGUAUGCCAUUAUGGGUGUAAAUUUCAUUCCUGGGCUACUAUACAGUCUCAAAUGCAACGUAACUAAUCUGGUGAAUUUCAAUUUCAAAUGUAACGUGUUAUAUUUGACCCUGUAACUUCCCAAAAUGCCAUAAACCCUGUACAUAGGGGGUACUGUAUUACACGUGAGACUUUGCUGAAUACAAAUAUGUGUAUUUUAUUGCAGUAAAAGCAAACAGUAUUAUGACAUUGAAAGUUAAAAUCUUAUUUUCUCCCAUUUUUUUCAUAUUAAAUUUUGUUUC
Pelobates cultripes (western spadefoot toad) is the source of this 431-nucleotide non-coding RNA. Lineage: Eukaryota; Metazoa; Chordata; Amphibia; Anura; Pelobatidae. The record is from the annotation of a GenBank genome assembly.